CGCUCGCGGCGGAGGCGCCGGGGCCACCGCUCGGGGGCGAGGGCUCGAGCGCUCCUCCCGCUUUACGGCUGCUGAAAACCCGGCCCGCGCCCGGCAGCCGUACCGCAGACGAGCCCGCGCCCGCGCCGCUCAGCUUAACAGACUACCCAGUGAUUUGACAUCUUGGGGCAUCUCCUAGUUCUAAGAAGCACUCACAGCAUAGUCAGCUUCCAGAGGGGGCCAUUCAGCU
This 229-nucleotide long non-coding RNA is filed under the name Bos indicus x Bos taurus (hybrid cattle). Its description in RNAcentral is "lncRNA (ENSBIXG00000024397.1)". Lineage: Eukaryota; Metazoa; Chordata; Mammalia; Artiodactyla; Bovidae. The record is from RNAcentral.